Molecule: ribosomal RNA, 484 nt
Filed under: uncultured bacterium
Lineage: Bacteria
Description: partial 16S ribosomal RNA
Rfam family: Bacterial small subunit ribosomal RNA
Source: RNAcentral
AUUGAACGCUGGCGGCAGGCCUAACACAUGCAAGUCGAGCGGAUGAAGGGAGCCUGCUCCUGGAUUCAGCGGCGGACGGGUGAGUAAUGCCUAGGAAUCUGCCUGGUAGUGGGGGAUAACGUCCGGAAACGGGCGCCAAUACCGCAUACGUCCUGAGGGAGAAAGUGGGGGAUCUUCGGACCUCACGCUAUCAGAUGAGCCUAGGUCGGAUUAGCUAGUUGGUGGGGUAAAGGCCUACCAAGGCGACGAUCCGUAACUGGUCUGAGAGGAUGAUCAGUCACACUGGAACUGAGACACGGUCCAGACUCCUACGGGAGGCAGCAGUGGGGAAUAUUGGACAAUGGGCGAAAGCCUGAUCCAGCCAUGCCGCGUGUGUGAAGAAGGUCUUCGGAUUGUAAAGCACUUUAAGUUGGGAGGAAGGGCAGUAAGUUAAUACCUUGCUGUUUUGACGUUACCAACAGAAUAAGCACCGGCUAACUUCGUG